UUGAACGCUGGCGGGCAGCGCCUAACACAUGCAAGUCGAGCGGCAGCGGGAAAGUAGCUUGCUACUUUUGCCGGCGAGCGGCGGACGGGUGAGUAAUGCCUGGGAAAUUGCCCAGUCGAGGGGGAUAACAGUUGGAAACGACUGCUAAUACCGCAUACGCCCUACGGGGGAAAGCAGGGGACCUUCGGGCCUUGCGCGAUUGGAUAUGCCCAGGUGGGAUUAGCUAGUUGGUGAGGUAAUGGCUCACCAAGGCGACGAUCCCUAGCUGGUCUGAGAGGAUGAUCAGCCACACUGGAACUGAGACACGGUCCAGACUCCUACGGGAGGCAGCAGUGGGGAAUAUUGCACAAUGGGGGAAACCCUGAUGCAGCCAUGCCGCGUGUGUGAAGAAGGCCUUCGGGUUGUAAAGCACUUUCAGCGAGGAGGAAAGGUUGAUGCCUAAUACGUANCAACUGUGACGUUACUCGCAGAAGAAGCACCGGCUAAACU
RNAcentral lists this ribosomal RNA (489 nucleotides) under Aeromonas hydrophila. RNAcentral describes it as "bacterial SSU rRNA". It matches the Rfam family "Bacterial small subunit ribosomal RNA", at positions 30 to 503 of the family's 1533-position model. Lineage: Bacteria; Pseudomonadati; Pseudomonadota; Gammaproteobacteria; Aeromonadales; Aeromonadaceae. The record is from RNAcentral.